This 253-nucleotide ribosomal RNA is filed under the name uncultured bacterium. RNAcentral describes it as "partial 16S ribosomal RNA". It matches the Rfam family "Bacterial small subunit ribosomal RNA", at positions 524 to 776 of the family's 1533-position model. The record is from RNAcentral.
UACGGAGGGUGCGAGCGUUGUUCGGAAUUAUUGGGCGUAAAGCGCGUGUAGGCGGUUUUUUAAGUCUGAUGUGAAAGCCCUGGGCUCAACCCUGGAAGUGCAUUGGAAACUGGGAGACUUGAAUACGGGAGAGGGCAGUGGAAUUCCUGGUGUAGGAGUGAAAUCCGUAGAUAUCAGGAGGAACACCGGUGGCGAAGGCGGCUGCCUGGACCGAUAUUGACGCUGAGACGCGAAAGCGUGGGGAGCAAACAGG